UACGUAGGGGGCAAGCGUUGUCCGGAUUUAUUGGGCGUAAAGAGCUCGUAGGUGGUUCGGUAAGUCGGAUGUGAAAUCUCCAGGCUCAACCUGGAGGGGUCAUUCGAUACUGCCGUGACUAGAGGUCGGUAGGGGAGUGUGGAAUUCCUGGUGGAGCGGUGAAAUGCGCAGAUAUCAGGAGGAACACCAGUGGCGAAGGGGGCGACCUGGCCAAUAUUGACGCUGAGAAGCGAAAGCAUGGGGAGCGAACAGG
This 253-nucleotide ribosomal RNA is filed under the name uncultured bacterium. RNAcentral's name for it is "partial 16S ribosomal RNA". It matches the Rfam family "Bacterial small subunit ribosomal RNA", at positions 524 to 776 of the family's 1533-position model. The record is from RNAcentral.